Molecule: ribosomal RNA, 446 nt
Filed under: uncultured bacterium
Lineage: Bacteria
Description: partial 16S ribosomal RNA
Rfam family: Bacterial small subunit ribosomal RNA
Source: RNAcentral
CCUACGUGCGGCAUCAGUCGAGAAUCAUUCACAAUGGGGGAAACCCUGAUGGUGCGACGCCGCGUGGGGGAAUGAAGGUCUUCGGAUUAUAAACCCCUGUCAUGUGGGAGCAAAUUAAAAAGAUAGUACCACAAGAGGAAGAGACGGCUAACUCUGUGCCAGCAGCCGCGGUAAUACAGAGGUCUCAAGCGUUGUUCGGAAUCACUGGGCGUAAAGCGUGCGUAGGCUGUUUCGUAAGUCGUGUGUGAAAGGCGCGGGCUCAACCCGCGGACGGCACAUGAUACUGCGAGACUAGAGUAAUGGAGGGGGAACCGGAAUUCUCGGUGUAGCAAUGAAAUGCGUAGAUAUCGAGAGGAACACUCGUGGCGAAGGCGGGUUCCUGGACAUUAACUGACGCUGAGGCACGAAGGCCAGGGGAGCGAAAGGGAUUAGAUACCCCUGUAGUC